ACGGGAGGCAGCAGUGGGGAAUAUUGCACAAUGGGCGCAAGCCUGAUGCAGCGAUGCCGCGUGAGGGAAGAAGGUUUUCGGAUUGUAAACCUCUGUCAACAGGGACGAAAAUGACGGUACCUGUGAAGGAAGCUCCGGCUAACUACGUGCCAGCAGCCGCGGUAAUACGGAGGAUGCGAGCGUUAUCCGGAUUUAUUGGGUUUAAAGGGUGCGUAGGCGGCCCCUUAAGUCGGCGGUGAAAUUUCCGGGCUCAACCCGGUCACUGCCGUCGAAACUGGGGGGCUUGAGUGCGUUUGGGGUGGCUGGAAUGUGCGGUGUAGCGGUGAAAUGCAUAGAUAUCGCACAGAACGCCGAUCGCGGAGGCAGGUCACCAAGCCGCAACUGACGCUGAGGCACGAAAGCGCGGGGAUCGAACAGGAUUAGAUACCCUGGUA
RNAcentral lists this ribosomal RNA (434 nucleotides) under uncultured Ruminococcus sp. Its description in RNAcentral is "partial 16S ribosomal RNA". It matches the Rfam family "Bacterial small subunit ribosomal RNA", at positions 341 to 792 of the family's 1533-position model. The record is from RNAcentral. Lineage: Bacteria; Bacillati; Bacillota; Clostridia; Eubacteriales; Oscillospiraceae.